GAGUUUGAUCUUGGCUCAGAUUGAACGCUGGCGGCAUGCCUUACACAUGCAAGUCGAGCGGCAGCGCGGGGCGAACCCUCGGCGGCGAGCGGCGAACGGGUGAGUAAUGCAUCGGAACGUGUCCUCUUGUGGGGAGUAACCAGUCGAAAGACUGGCUAAUACCGCAUGAGAUCGAGAGAUGAAAGCAGGGGACCGCAAGGCCUUGCGCGAGAGGAGCGGCCGAUGCCGGAUUAGCUAGUUGGUGGGGUAAAAGACCUACCAAGGCGACGAUCCGUAGCUGGUCUGAGAGGACGACCAGCCACACUGGGACUGAGACACGGCCCAGACUCCUACGGGAGGCAGCAGUGGGG
Molecule: ribosomal RNA, 350 nt
Filed under: uncultured beta proteobacterium
Lineage: Bacteria; Pseudomonadati; Pseudomonadota; Betaproteobacteria
Description: bacterial SSU rRNA
Rfam family: Bacterial small subunit ribosomal RNA
Source: RNAcentral